This 823-nucleotide ribosomal RNA is filed under the name uncultured bacterium. RNAcentral's name for it is "bacterial SSU rRNA". It matches the Rfam family "Bacterial small subunit ribosomal RNA", at positions 627 to 1449 of the family's 1533-position model. The record is from RNAcentral.
UGGAAACUGUNUGACUUGAGUGCAGAAGGGGAGAGUGGAAUUCCAUGUGUAGCGGUGAAAUGCGUAGAUAUAUGGAGGANCACCAGUGGCGAAAGCGGCUCUCUGGUCUGUCACUGACGCUGAGGCUCGAAAGCGUGGGUAGCGAACAGGAUUAGAUACCCUGGUAGUCCACGCCGUAAACGAUGAGUGCUAGGUGUUAGGCCCUUUCCGGGGCUUAGUGCCGGAGCUAACGCAAUAAGCACUCCGCCUGGGGAGUACGACCGCAAGGUUGAAACUCAAAGGAAUUGACGGGGGCCCGCACAAGCGGUGGAGCAUGUGGUUUAAUUCGAAGCAACGCGAAGAACCUUACCAGGUCUUGACAUCCCGAUGCUAUUCUUAGAGAUAGGAAGUUACUUCGGUACAUCGGAGACAGGUGGUGCAUGGUUGUCGUCAGCUCGUGUCGUGAGAUGUUGGGUUAAGUCCCGCAACGAGCGCAACCCUUAUUGUUAGUUGCCAUCAUUAAGUUGGGCACUCUAGCGAGACUGCCGGUAAUAAACCGGAGGAAGGUGGGGAUGACGUCAAAUCAUCAUGCCCCUUAUGACCUGGGCUACACACGUGCUACAAUGGUCGGUACAACGAGUUGCGAGCCGGUGACGGCAAGCUAAUCUCUGAAAGCCGAUCUCAGUUCGGAUUGGAGGCUGCAACUCGCCUCCAUGAAGUCGGAAUCGCUAGUAAUCGCGGAUCAGCACGCCGCGGUGAAUACGUUCCCGGGCCUUGUACACACCGCCCGUCACACCACGAGAGUUUGUAACACCCGAAGUCGGUGAGGUAACCUUUUAGGGGC